GACGAACGCUGGCGGCGUGCUUAACACAUGCAAGUCGAACGAUGAAGCCCAGCUUGCUGGGUGGAUUAGUGGCGAACGGGUGAGUAACACGUGAGUAACCUGCCCUUAACUCUGGGAUAAGCCUGGGAAACUGGGUCUAAUACCGGAUAGGAGCGUCCACCGCAUGGUGGGUGUUGGAAAGAUUUAUCGGUUUUGGAUGGACUCGCGGCCUAUCAGCUUGUUGGUGAGGUAAUGGCUCACCAAGGCGACGACGGGUAGCCGGCCUGAGAGGGUGACCGGCCACACUGGGACUGAGACACGGCCCAGACUCCUACGGGAGGCAGCAGUGGGGAAUAUUGCACAAUGGGCGCAAGCCUGAUGCAGCGACGCCGCGUGAGGGAUGACGGCCUUCGGGUUGUAAACCUCUUUCAGUAGGGAAGAAGCGAAAGUGACGGUACCUGCAGAAGAAGCACCGGCUAACUACGUG
RNAcentral lists this ribosomal RNA (466 nucleotides) under uncultured bacterium. Its description in RNAcentral is "partial 16S ribosomal RNA". It matches the Rfam family "Bacterial small subunit ribosomal RNA", at positions 28 to 507 of the family's 1533-position model. The record is from RNAcentral.